AUUGAACGCUGGCGGCAGGCCUAACACAUGCAAGUCGAGCGGAUGAAGGGAGCUUGCUCCUGGCUUCAGCGGCGGACGGGUGAGUAAUGCCUAGGAAUCUGCCUGGGAGUGGGGGAUAACGUCCGGAAACGGGCGCUAAUACCGCAUACGUCCUGAGGGAGAAAGUGGGGGAUCUUCGGACCUCACGCUAUCAGAUGAGCCUAGGUCGGAUUAGCUAGUUGGUGGGGUAAAGGCCUACCAAGGCGACGAUCCGUAACUGGUCUGAGAGGAUGAUCAGCCACACUGGAACUGAGACACGGUCCAGACUCCUACGGGAGGCAGCAGUGGGGAAUAUUGGACAAUGGGCGAAAGCCUGAUCCAGCCAUGCCGCGUGUGUGAAGAAGGUCUUCGGAUUGUAAAGCACUUUAAGUUGGGAGGAAGGGCAGUAAGUUAAUACCUUGCUGUUUUGACGGUACCAACAGAAUAAGCACCGGCUAACUUCGUG
This 484-nucleotide ribosomal RNA is filed under the name uncultured bacterium. Its description in RNAcentral is "partial 16S ribosomal RNA". It matches the Rfam family "Bacterial small subunit ribosomal RNA", at positions 30 to 507 of the family's 1533-position model. The record is from RNAcentral.